GAACUUUCACCCAAAAAAAAAAAAAAAAGAAUUUAGAGGGAGACGCUCCGUUGAAAGGCCACGCAUUUUUUUCAGAAUCUGCCCCUUAUCCUUUCUCUCUCACUGUGUAUACAUUUUUGAGAGAACCCUAGAAAUCUGAAACGAAAUUAGAGAAGCGAAAUUUGGGUGAGGAAAUUGAGAACCCAUUUGAGAGAGAAUUGAGGAUUUCCCAUUUUGAAGGACGAGAGCCAGAGAAGCAGAAAGCAGAAAGCAGAAAGCAGAUAGAGAGAGAGGAAAUGGAGAACAGCAACCAGCAAGCUCAGUCCUCAUCAUACCCAACAACACAGCCCCCUUUUAAUCAUCUUCUACAACAGCAACAACAGCAACUCCAGAUGUUUUGGACGUACCAACGUCAAGAGAUCGAACAAGUGAACGAUUUCAAGAACCAUCAGCUCCCCUUAGCCCGUAUCAAGAAGAUCAUGAAGGCCGAUGAAGAUGUUCGCAUGAUCUCUGCUGAAGCCCCAAUCCUCUUUGCCAAGGCUUGCGAGCUCUUCAUUCUGGAGCUCACAAUCCGUUCAUGGCUUCACGCAGAGGAGAACAAGCGUAGAACAUUGCAGAAGAAUGAUAUCGCUGCCGCUAUUACCCGUACCGAUAUUUUUGACUUCUUGGUUGAUAUUGUUCCAAGGGAUGAGAUCAAAGAUGAAGCAGGUCUGGGGAUUUCUGGGACUACCACAAGCGGAGUGCCUUACUAUUACCCUCCGAUGGGGCAGCCGGCGCCUGGCGUUAUGAUCGGCCGACCGGCAUUGCCUGGAAUCGACCCUGGGUUGUAUGCUCAGCCCCCAUCGCAGGCGUGGCAGUCGGUGUGGCAGACGGCGGAAGAUGGAUCCUAUGGGAGCGGUGGUAGCAGUGAACAAGCCAAUUUGGACGGGCAGGCGGGACAUAAACAGAAGAUUGAUUUGUGAGUUGGGGUUCCAAAUUUCCAGAGCAUGUGAAUUCAACCUGUUAAGGACAAAGAUCAGCCUGUAGGAAGGGAAAUUGAUGCUGUUCAUCAAGAACUGCAGCAAAUCAGAUUGCAGGUGUUGCAAUUUGUCCACAACUUUAAAGGAUUGACAAACUGUCUAUUCAUCACCCUCAAAUCAGGAAGCUAUGAAGUGACUAAACUAUCACAGCUAUAUGAUGGACAGUCUGUUAUUUGCUAUUUGAAAUGAUGAAUGCUCUGGAUAAUUUUAUCCAAUCCCCCGCCCAAAAUCGGAUGAAAAGAAAAGGACUUGAGCAAGCAGAAUAGCUGAAGUUUGACCGCUGGAUAGUGGAGACUAAUUCAAAAAGGUGAAUGGUCAUGAGCUGAGAAUUUUGAAGAUUAUCCCUUUUGUUUUAAGGUUCUGUUAGAUUUGGAUGCGUUUCAGUUGUUUGUGUUUGUGAAGUUGCUUUACGUUCCUAGAAAAGCAAAUGUGGUACACCAUUUAGGUUUGGCGAAAAUGGAUUCUAAAGAAGGAAUUUCGAAGGUGUAGUACAACUUGGAUCUCUCACCAUGAGUCCUUGUGUUCGUGGGGAGAUACUCAUAAGAAAUUUGGUUAUAGCUUAGACUUCAUUUGGUUGCAAGGGAAAUCGAAAGAAGGGAAGAGAAAUUUUAAGAACUUUAUAAAAAGAAACUUUUGUAAUUGUUAUUAACAUGAUUGUAUACAUUACUUAAAUUUCUUAUCAUGCUUGAAAUGAUAUUUUUUAGAUGUAAUUUUUAUUUUACUUUUCAAAUCUAACAUAUUUAAAUGCAAAGUAAAGUGAAAUUUAAUAACCAAAUAUAGAAUGAUUUGGAGUUGGUGACAACCAUGUGGGGUAAUGGGUUUUUUGGUUUUGGUAAUUCAUGUGAGCUAAUGAUUACAAAAGUUUGUUUUUAGGAUUUUUUCAUUUUCCUUCCCUUCAAUUUCCUUUGCAACCAAACAGAGCAAGGAAUUUAUAAAGGAGAUGAGAAGUGCCUUCCAAUGGUGGGCGUAACAUGUAAGUGUUGGAUAUGUAUGUCCAUCAAACCUGGUUUAUUAAUAAGACUAUUAUUUUUUAUGCAUGGCAUUUAUUUAUUGGGUUUGUAAGUUGUUCUAUGGGUUUUCACCCAAACUUAUUCUUGGCUAGGGAUAUGACCGAACAUCUUGUUCACAUGAUCGUUACAUUAUAUGUCACCAGAGAUGUGAUUACAGUAUAUAAAUGUAAGUAUACAUAUUGUGUGUAUAAAAAAGAAUCUGGUAAGAAUCUCGCAUGUGUUAUUGCCAGUUGUGUGAGGACGAAAUUCGUAUCUGUCACUUGACCUUUGACCUGAGAGACCCAAUUUAUUGUAGUGGUGUAUAAUGUGUUUUGGUAAACCAAUGCUUGAUGUUCAACGGACUAUAUAUUAGUAUGUUGAACAUGUGGUCCCAUAUUGUUAAUAAAAAAUAUCAUCAACAUGGAAUCCACUGGCUUUAAUUGGGAAUAUCAAGGAGAGAGAAUGUUUGUGUUUGAUCGGAUGGAAAUCUGGUACUAGUGUUGUUUUUGUAAAUUGUUUACAUCGUUAGUUUUUAAUAUGAAAAAUAAUGUUUUAUUUAUUAAAUUUUAUUUGAAAUAUUUUGUCAGCGUCCGAUCAUGUUCACAGAAUAUUUAAAAUAGAUAUGUAUAAUGAGUUGAGGUUAGGUAGUAUUAAAUUACAUUCCCUAUAGCUCAUUAUGGGAUAUUGAAAAAGUAGGUUUUAUAUGCAUGACAAGAUUUUGGGAAUAUUAAAUGGUUAAUUAUUUUUUUUAUUUAUGGUAAUGGAUAAAAUAUAAUUUGAUUAUAUUUGUCACCCAUACUAAGAAAGAUAACAAUCCGUUUUAGAUUCUACCUCUUCCCACUUUAGAAGCAAAUUAGUUGUUUAAUUUUGAAAAUUGUUCUCUAGUCUCUAUCACUAAGAUUUGGAUUUCUUUGUUUUGUGAUUAGAUCAUAUUUUAUACACCCAUGACCGUUUUAAUUGAACAUUUUGAUACUAGAUUGAUGAUAAAAGUGAUUACAUUAUGUGAUUUUCUCACAUUUGCAAGUUAUAUGAUCAUGUGCAUAAAAGAUGCUAAAUGGGAGGGUCCAAUGCAAUUUAGACACCGGUUUGCCCAUGGAUCGAUUCACAUAUGAUCAAGGGCAAGAUGGGAAGAAGUUUCACUGAAGCAAUCCAAGGCAAAUGAGGAAUUUCACUUUAAUUUAAAAGUUUGACCAAGAGAUUGAGCAACAAAGAAGAAUCAGACACGGAAGGACUUGAACAAGUGUGGGGGCAUAAUGAUAAUUUUGAAAGAUAAGGAUUUCGUCGGAACAUAUUGGAUAUUGGGCUCGUUGUGUUCGUAAUUUAAAAUGAUGCAUCUUUAAAUCUCAGUUUGAAUCAAUCCGGGGUCAGGAUGGAGAGAUAUAGCCUAAAAACCGCUUUGAGUUAAGUUGGAAUUUAAGUUGAAUUUUAGAAUUUUUAAAAAUUAACUAUAUUAUCUCUCUCCUCUUGUCUCUACUAUACCUAACUCUCUAUUUCUACACUCUAUUGCCUCUUGGUUUCAUUCUUUCUUUCCCUCUUUCUUUUAUAAGUAUCUUUCUCUUUCCUACUUGGUUUCUAACUCUCCACUUCCUUAUCUUACAAGUAUCUUUCCAUUUUCUGAACUACUUCUAACACUCUCUUUAGCUUAUAUAUAGACACCUAAUUCACAACUUGAGAAACACAAAUUUUUAGAGAGCUUUUUCUUAUUAGUUUUUUCUUUUCUUUUGAGUUGUAAGUAAAGAUUGAAGUUGAAGUUCUUAAGCUUGGAAUUUGCAGUACAUAUUUAGUAAAAUACUUCUUUUUAUUUUCUUUUCAAUUUCAGAUUUAAUUUUAUAUAAUGUCUUAUCCAUUUUCUAGUUGUUUUUCAUCUUUCCUCAUCCCCAUGGUUAACUAAAUUCUGCAACUGAGGAAUUGGAUGAAACCACGAGAUGAAGAGCAACUUGUAAGCAGUUGAUACCCAUUUUCUUAAUUCCAUGUAACCAAAUUGCAAAGUCAAAAUUAUGUAUGCCAUUGAUUGCCUUUCGUAUUUGUGAUUAUCAAUUUCUAAUAUAGUCUUGCUUAUAAUCUCAUGUUAUGUAUGUGUUGAAUAACUCAUGGGACAUAUUAGAUUUAAAAAUCCAUAUUUCUUAUUGACCUAUUCAAGCAUGAGAUAUAGGGCUAGAUUGUUUAUAGAUUGUUCUUAAAUCUCUUGGUGGAUUCUAAUUCCUAAGUGUUUCCCCACAUCAUAAUUUCACAUCUCUCUAGUACUUACAUAAUUUUAGGUUCAUUAAUUCAUUCUAAUUUUAAUAUUAGGUUCACUUUAUUAUUGCAUGUUUAAUUUAAUUCUAUGGUUAAUUCUUGUCUUUUUCACCAUUAUUAGUUUAGUUUACUUUAAUUUGUGAUACCCAUUAGUUAGUACAUUCUACCUAAGUUGGAACUGAAUUUUUCAUAGAGCUCACCUCCCUAUGAUCGACCCUUAGCUACACACGACCCUGCAGUUGCUUAAGUAUGGAAGAACUAUACUCUGAAGGAGGAACUUCAAUUGCGGUUCUAAGAUAAACCAUUUCAUUCCCAUGUAGUUAAUUUUUGUAUAGUGAUUUCGAAUGCAAGAGAUCCCAAUCUGAUCACUUCCAUUGCAAAUGGGUUCCAACCAACAGUAAGAAUGUUGGAUCUCUCUAUCAAACUAUGUGUCAAACCUUUCACAUGAUUUUUUUACUUGAAAAAAGUGUUUGGGAAAAGGUUUUUUAAGCCAUCGGCGUAGAGUAUGCCAACACCUUUUUGUGUAUCUCUCUCCUCACAUUAAAUGACUUCACUGCACUAUGAAGUAUGAUUCUGUUUUAUCGCACCUCCUUGGUGUGUUCACCUUAUAUUGUUUGCUUAGAGAACUCUCACCCAAAGAAUAUUACAUAUAAUUGGAGAACACACAUUUUCUCUCUCUCUCUCGACCUCCCUCUUUUCAUGAUCUCAUUUUUCUUGUAUUAAGGAAUGUUGAACCUAAAUGCUCAUAUUAUUUUGAAUAUGUUUCGGAUAUAAAAACUAUUGAUUGAUGUGCGUUGGUGUUCUAACAUGUGAUGUGUGUUGAUGUUUUUCUAAGAAAAAUGGAAGUCAAAGCAAUGAGGAGAAUCCUAUGGAGCAAAAGAAGCAUAUUACGUUGAUGAGUAAUUGUUGGAUACAGUUAACAAGGGAGAGUUGCAAUUGCCAGUGAAUAAGAAAGACGAGAACUUCAAGACAAAUUAUUUUGAAGAAGAUGAAGUCUUUCAAGGAUAAAAUUAUUUGUUUGGUAGUGUCAUCUAUUGUAAUCUUGAUGUUGAUAACCACACUACAUGAUUGUUAUUUCAAUGUUAGUGUAGACUCAAAUUUAUGUACCA
Macadamia integrifolia is the source of this 5331-nucleotide RNA transcript. It is a transcript of the gene named nuclear transcription factor Y subunit C-1-like, with no coding region annotated. The transcript is spliced from 4 exons. The record is from RefSeq and is a predicted model, not a curated record. Lineage: Eukaryota; Viridiplantae; Streptophyta; Magnoliopsida; Proteales; Proteaceae.